ACACGRCUCUCGGCAACGGAUAUCUCGGCUCUCGCAUCGAUGAAGAACGUAGCGAAAUGCGAUACCUGGUGUGAAUUGCAGAAUCCCGCGAACCAUCGAGUCUUUGAACGCAAGUUGCGCCCGAGGCCAUUCGGCCGAGGGCACGCCUGCCUGGGCGUCACGS
Molecule: ribosomal RNA, 163 nt
Filed under: Avena sativa (oats)
Lineage: Eukaryota; Viridiplantae; Streptophyta; Magnoliopsida; Poales; Poaceae
Description: 5.8S ribosomal RNA
Rfam family: 5.8S ribosomal RNA
About the family: 5.8S ribosomal RNA (5.8S rRNA) is a component of the large subunit of the eukaryotic ribosome. It is transcribed by RNA polymerase I as part of the 45S precursor that also contains 18S and 28S rRNA.
Source: RNAcentral